AGGCAAUGUUGUGGACACUUCCACAAGAUAUCCUUGAAUGGUUCCCAUGUCUCAAACAAUGAUUCUAGAUCCAUCUGAACACAUGAAGAGAUCUCAUUUCGAAGCUU
This is a small nucleolar RNA of Dioscorea cayenensis subsp. rotundata (Guinea yam), 107 nucleotides long. Lineage: Eukaryota; Viridiplantae; Streptophyta; Magnoliopsida; Dioscoreales; Dioscoreaceae. The record is from RefSeq and is a predicted model, not a curated record.